Molecule: ribosomal RNA, 2921 nt
Filed under: Staphylococcus aureus
Lineage: Bacteria; Bacillati; Bacillota; Bacilli; Caryophanales; Staphylococcaceae
Description: bacterial LSU rRNA
Rfam family: Bacterial large subunit ribosomal RNA
Source: RNAcentral
UUAAGUUAUUAAGGGCGCACGGUGGAUGCCUUGGCACUAGAAGCCGAUGAAGGACGUUACUAACGACGAUAUGCUUUGGGGAGCUGUAAGUAAGCUUUGAUCCAGAGAUUUCCGAAUGGGGAAACCCAGCAUGAGUUAUGUCAUGUUAUCGAUAUGUGAAUACAUAGCAUAUCAGAAGGCACACCCGGAGAACUGAAACAUCUUAGUACCCGGAGGAAGAGAAAGAAAAUUCGAUUCCCUUAGUAGCGGCGAGCGAAACGGGAAGAGCCCAAACCAACAAGCUUGCUUGUUGGGGUUGUAGGACACUCUAUAUGGAGUUACAAAGGACGACAUUAGACGAAUCAUCUGGAAAGAUGAAUCAAAGAAGGUAAUAAUCCUGUAGUCGAAAAUGUUGUCUCUCUUGAGUGGAUCCUGAGUACGACGGAGCACGUGAAAUUCCGUCGGAAUCUGGGAGGACCAUCUCCUAAGGCUAAAUACUCUCUAGUGACCGAUAGUGAACCAGUACCGUGAGGGAAAGGUGAAAAGCACCCCGGAAGGGGAGUGAAAUAGAACCUGAAACCGUGUGCUUACAAGUAGUCAGAGCCCGUUAAUGGGUGAUGGCGUGCCUUUUGUAGAAUGAACCGGCGAGUUACGAUUUGAUGCAAGGUUAAGCAGUAAAUGUGGAGCCGUAGCGAAAGCGAGUCUGAAUAGGGCGUUUAGUAUUUGGUCGUAGACCCGAAACCAGGUGAUCUACCCUUGGUCAGGUUGAAGUUCAGGUAACACUGAAUGGAGGACCGAACCGACUUACGUUGAAAAGUGAGCGGAUGAACUGAGGGUAGCGGAGAAAUUCCAAUCGAACCUGGAGAUAGCUGGUUCUCUCCGAAAUAGCUUUAGGGCUAGCCUCAAGUGAUGAUUAUUGGAGGUAGAGCACUGUUUGGACGAGGGGCCCCUCUCGGGUUACCGAAUUCAGACAAACUCCGAAUGCCAAUUAAUUUAACUUGGGAGUCAGAACAUGGGUGAUAAGGUCCGUGUUCGAAAGGGAAACAGCCCAGACCACCAGCUAAGGUCCCAAAAUAUAUGUUAAGUGGAAAAGGAUGUGGCGUUGCCCAGACAACUAGGAUGUUGGCUUAGAAGCAGCCAUCAUUUAAAGAGUGCGUAAUAGCUCACUAGUCGAGUGACACUGCGCCGAAAAUGUACCGGGGCUAAACAUAUUACCGAAGCUGUGGAUUGUCCUUUGGACAAUGGUAGGAGAGCGUUCUAAGGGCGUUGAAGCAUGAUCGUAAGGACAUGUGGAGCGCUUAGAAGUGAGAAUGCCGGUGUGAGUAGCGAAAGACGGGUGAGAAUCCCGUCCACCGAUUGACUAAGGUUUCCAGAGGAAGGCUCGUCCGCUCUGGGUUAGUCGGGUCCUAAGCUGAGGCCGACAGGCGUAGGCGAUGGAUAACAGGUUGAUAUUCCUGUACCACCUAUAAUCGUUUUAAUCGAUGGGGGGACGCAGUAGGAUAGGCGAAGCGUGCGAUUGGAUUGCACGUCUAAGCAGUAAGGCUGAGUAUUAGGCAAAUCCGGUACUCAUUAAGGCUGAGCUGUGAUGGGGAGAAGACAUUGUGUCUUCGAGUCGUUGAUUUCACACUGCCGAGAAAAGCCUCUAGAUAGAAAAUAGGUGCCCGUACCGCAAACCGACACAGGUAGUCAAGAUGAGAAUUCUAAGGUGAGCGAGCGAACUCUCGUUAAGGAACUCGGCAAAAUGACCCCGUAACUUCGGGAGAAGGGGUGCUCUUUAGGGUUAACGCCCAGAAGAGCCGCAGUGAAUAGGCCCAAGCGACUGUUUAUCAAAAACACAGGUCUCUGCUAAACCGUAAGGUGAUGUAUAGGGGCUGACGCCUGCCCGGUGCUGGAAGGUUAAGAGGAGUGGUUAGCUUCUGCGAAGCUACGAAUCGAAGCCCCAGUAAACGGCGGCCGUAACUAUAACGGUCCUAAGGUAGCGAAAUUCCUUGUCGGGUAAGUUCCGACCCGCACGAAAGGCGUAACGAUUUGGGCACUGUCUCAACGAGAGACUCGGUGAAAUCAUAGUACCUGUGAAGAUGCAGGUUACCCGCGACAGGACGGAAAGACCCCGUGGAGCUUUACUGUAGCCUGAUAUUGAAAUUCGGCACAGCUUGUACAGGAUAGGUAGGAGCCUUUGAAACGUGAGCGCUAGCUUACGUGGAGGCGCUGGUGGGAUACUACCCUAGCUGUGUUGGCUUUCUAACCCGCACCACUUAUCGUGGUGGGAGACAGUGUCAGGCGGGCAGUUUGACUGGGGCGGUCGCCUCCUAAAAGGUAACGGAGGCGCUCAAAGGUUCCCUCAGAAUGGUUGGAAAUCAUUCAUAGAGUGUAAAGGCAUAAGGGAGCUUGACUGCGAGACCUACAAGUCGAGCAGGGUCGAAAGACGGACUUAGUGAUCCGGUGGUUCCGCAUGGAAGGGCCAUCGCUCAACGGAUAAAAGCUACCCCGGGGAUAACAGGCUUAUCUCCCCCAAGAGUUCACAUCGACGGGGAGGUUUGGCACCUCGAUGUCGGCUCAUCGCAUCCUGGGGCUGUAGUCGGUCCCAAGGGUUGGGCUGUUCGCCCAUUAAAGCGGUACGCGAGCUGGGUUCAGAACGUCGUGAGACAGUUCGGUCCCUAUCCGUCGUGGGCGUAGGAAAUUUGAGAGGAGCUGUCCUUAGUACGAGAGGACCGGGAUGGACAUACCUCUGGUGUACCAGUUGUCGUGCCAACGGCAUAGCUGGGUAGCUAUGUGUGGACGGGAUAAGUGCUGAAAGCAUCUAAGCAUGAAGCCCCCCUCAAGAUGAGAUUUCCCAACUUCGGUUAUAAGAUCCCUCAAAGAUGAUGAGGUUAAUAGGUUCGAGGUGGAAGCAUGGUGACAUGUGGAGCUGACGAAUACUAAUCGAUCGAAGACUUAAUCAA